CAGCCAUGCCGCGUGAAGGAUGAAGGCCCUCUGGGUUGUAAACUUCUUUUAUCUGGGACGAAAAAAGGGUAUUCUUACUCACUUGACGGUACCAGAGGAAUAAGCACCGGCUAACUCCGUGCCAGCAGCCGCGGUAAUACGGAGGGUGCAAGCGUUAUCCGGAUUCACUGGGUUUAAAGGGAGCGUAGGUGGGCUGAUAAGUCAGUGGUGAAAUCUCCGGGCUUAACCCGGAAACUGCCAUUGAUACUAUCAGUCUUGAAUUAUCUGGAGGUAAGCGGAAUAUGUCAUGUAGCGGUGAAAUGCUUAGAUAUGACAUAAAACACCAAUUGCGAAGGCAGCUUGCUACGGAUUGAUUGACACUGAGGCUCGAAAGCGUGCGGAUCAAACAGGAUUAAAUACCCUGGUA
This 406-nucleotide ribosomal RNA is filed under the name Ferruginibacter sp. Its description in RNAcentral is "bacterial SSU rRNA". It matches the Rfam family "Bacterial small subunit ribosomal RNA", at positions 389 to 792 of the family's 1533-position model. The record is from RNAcentral. Lineage: Bacteria; Pseudomonadati; Bacteroidota; Chitinophagia; Chitinophagales; Chitinophagaceae.